GUCCGUUAAUAACAAAUUCUUAUUUACAAUGACAGACGACACUGUUGAGCCCCGAGGGGGGACCUGAUGAGAGAGAUUAUAGGAGCCCCGAGGGGGGACCUGAUGAGAGAGAUUAUAGGAGCCCCGAGGGGGGACCUGAUGAGAGAGAUUAUAGGAUUAUAGGAUAUAUUUUUUUUUGAUUGUCUGUAAAAAUGUUGCACGUGUUCCAAUAAAUUGUAUGGCAUCUU
Long non-coding RNA from Oncorhynchus keta (chum salmon), 227 nucleotides. RefSeq lists it as uncharacterized. The record is from RefSeq and is a predicted model, not a curated record. The transcript has 2 exons. NCBI's taxonomy places the organism in Eukaryota, Metazoa, Chordata, Actinopteri, Salmoniformes, Salmonidae.